CCUUGACAUACUAAGAACUUUCCAGAGAUGGAUUGGUGCCUUCGGGAACUUAGAUACAGGUGCUGCAUGGCUGUCGUCAGCUCGUGUCGUGAGAUGUUGGGUUAAGUCCCGCAACGAGCGCAACCCUUUUCCUUAUUUGCCAGCGGGUCAUGCCGGGAACUUUAAGGAUACUGCCAGUGACGAACUGGAGGAAGGCGGGGACGACGUCAAGUCAUCAUGGCCCUUACGGCCAGGGCUACACACGUGCUACAAUGGUCGGUACAAAGGGUUGCUACCUCGCGAGAGGAUGCUAAUCUCAAAAAGCCGAUCGUAGUCCGGAUCGCAGUCUGCAACUCGACUGCGUGAAGUCGGAAUCGCUAGUAAUCGCGGAUCAGAAUGCCGCGGUGAAUACGUUCCCGGGCCUUGUACACACCGCCCGUCACACCAUGGGAGUUUGUUGCACCAGAAGUAGGUAGUCUAACCGCAAGGAGGACGCUUACCACGGUGUGGCCGAUGACUGGGGUGAAGUCGUAACAAGGUAGGCGUAGAUGA
Molecule: ribosomal RNA, 531 nt
Filed under: uncultured bacterium
Lineage: Bacteria
Description: bacterial SSU rRNA
Rfam family: Bacterial small subunit ribosomal RNA
Source: RNAcentral